GGUUAAGCGACUAAGCGUACACGGUGGAUGCCCUGGCAGUCAGAGGCGAUGAAGGACGUGCUAAUCUGCGAUAAGCGUCGGUAAGGUGAUAUGAACCGUUAUAACCGGCGAUUUCCGAAUGGGGAAACCCAGUGUGAUUCGUCACACUAUCAUUAACUGAAUCCAUAGGUUAAUGAGGCGAACCGGGGGAACUGAAACAUCUAAGUACCCCGAGGAAAAGAAAUCAACCGAGAUUCCCCCAGUAGCGGCGAGCGAACGGGGAGCAGCCCAGAGCCUGAAUCAGUGUGUGUGUUAGUGGAAGCGUCUGGAAAGGCGCGCGAUACAGGGUGACAGCCCCGUACACAAAAAUGCACAUGCUGUGAGCUCGAUGAGUAGGGCGGGACACGUGGUAUCCUGUCUGAAUAUGGGGGGACCAUCCUCCAAGGCUAAAUACUCCUGACUGACCGAUAGUGAACCAGUACCGUGAGGGAAAGGCGAAAAGAACCCCGGCGAGGGGAGUGAAAAAGAACCUGAAACCGUGUACGUACAAGCAGUGGGAGCCUCUUUAUGGGGUGACUGCGUACCUUUUGUAUAAUGGGUCAGCGACUUAUAUUCUGUAGCAAGGUUAACCGAAUAGGGGAGCCGAAGGGAAACCGAGUCUUAACUGGGCGUUAAGUUGCAGGGUAUAGACCCGAAACCCGGUGAUCUAGCCAUGGGCAGGUUGAAGGUUGGGUAACACUAACUGGAGGACCGAACCGACUAAUGUUGAAAAAUUAGCGGAUGACUUGUGGCUGGGGGUGAAAGGCCAAUCAAACCGGGAGAUAGCUGGUUCUCCCCGAAAGCUAUUUAGGUAGCGCCUCGUGAACUCAUCUCCGGGGGUAGAGCACUGUUUCGGCAAGGGGGUCAUCCCGACUUACCAACCCGAUGCAAACUGCGAAUACCGGAGAAUGUUAUCACGGGAGACACACGGCGGGUGCUAACGUCCGUCGUGAAGAGGGAAACAACCCAGACCGCCAGCUAAGGUCCCAAAGUCAUGGUUAAGUGGGAAACGAUGUGGGAAGGCCCAGACAGCCAGGAUGUUGGCUUAGAAGCAGCCAUCAUUUAAAGAAAGCGUAAUAGCUCACUGGUCGAGUCGGCCUGCGCGGAAGAUGUAACGGGGCUAAACCAUGCACCGAAGCUGCGGCAGCGACGCUUAUGCGUUGUUGGGUAGGGGAGCGUUCUGUAAGCCUGUGAAGGUGUGCUGUGAGGCAUGCUGGAGGUAUCAGAAGUGCGAAUGCUGACAUAAGUAACGAUAAAGCGGGUGAAAAGCCCGCUCGCCGGAAGACCAAGGGUUCCUGUCCAACGUUAAUCGGGGCAGGGUGAGUCGACCCCUAAGGCGAGGCCGAAAGGCGUAGUCGAUGGGAAACAGGUUAAUAUUCCUGUACUUGGUGUUACUGCGAAGGGGGGACGGAGAAGGCUAUGUUGGCCGGGCGACGGUUGUCCCGGUUUAAGCGUGUAGGCUGGUUUUCCAGGCAAAUCCGGAAAAUCAAGGCUGAGGCGUGAUGACGAGGCACUACGGUGCUGAAGCAACAAAUGCCCUGCUUCCAGGAAAAGCCUCUAAGCAUCAGGUAACAUCAAAUCGUACCCCAAACCGACACAGGUGGUCAGGUAGAGAAUACCAAGGCGCUUGAGAGAACUCGGGUGAAGGAACUAGGCAAAAUGGUGCCGUAACUUCGGGAGAAGGCACGCUGAUAUGUAGGUGAAGUCCCUCGCGGAUGGAGCUGAAAUCAGUCGAAGAUACCAGCUGGCUGCAACUGUUUAUUAAAAACACAGCACUGUGCAAACACGAAAGUGGACGUAUACGGUGUGACGCCUGCCCGGUGCCGGAAGGUUAAUUGAUGGGGUCAGCGCAAGCGAAGCUCUUGAUCGAAGCCCCGGUAAACGGCGGCCGUAACUAUAACGGUCCUAAGGUAGCGAAAUUCCUUGUCGGGUAAGUUCCGACCUGCACGAAUGGCGUAAUGAUGGCCAGGCUGUCUCCACCCGAGACUCAGUGAAAUUGAACUCGCUGUGAAGAUGCAGUGUACCCGCGGCAAGACGGAAAGACCCCGUGAACCUUUACUAUAGCUUGACACUGAACAUUGAGCCUUGAUGUGUAGGAUAGGUGGGAGGCUUAGAAGUGUGGACGCCAGUCUGCAUGGAGCCGACCUUGAAAUACCACCCUUUAAUGUUUGAUGUUCUAACGUUGACCCGUAAUCCGGGUUGCGGACAGUGUCUGGUGGGUAGUUUGACUGGGGCGGUCUCCUCCUAAAGAGUAACGGAGGAGCACGAAGGUUGGCUAAUCCUGGUCGGACAUCAGGAGGUUAGUGCAAUGGCAUAAGCCAGCUUGACUGCGAGCGUGACGGCGCGAGCAGGUGCGAAAGCAGGUCAUAGUGAUCCGGUGGUUCUGAAUGGAAGGGCCAUCGCUCAACGGAUAAAAGGUACUCCGGGGAUAACAGGCUGAUACCGCCCAAGAGUUCAUAUCGACGGCGGUGUUUGGCACCUCGAUGUCGGCUCAUCACAUCCUGGGGCUGAAGUAGGUCCCAAGGGUAUGGCUGUUCGCCAUUUAAAGUGGUACGCGAGCUGGGUUUAGAACGUCGUGAGACAGUUCGGUCCCUAUCUGCCGUGGGCGCUGGAGAACUGAGGGGGGCUGCUCCUAGUACGAGAGGACCGGAGUGGACGCAUCACUGGUGUUCGGGUUGUCAUGCCAAUGGCACUGCCCGGUAGCUAAAUGCGGAAGAGAUAAGUGCUGAAAGCAUCUAAGCACGAAACUUGCCCCGAGAUGAGUUCUCCCUGAC
RNAcentral lists this ribosomal RNA (2792 nucleotides) under Escherichia coli. RNAcentral's name for it is "partial 23S ribosomal RNA". It matches the Rfam family "Bacterial large subunit ribosomal RNA". The record is from RNAcentral. Lineage: Bacteria; Pseudomonadati; Pseudomonadota; Gammaproteobacteria; Enterobacterales; Enterobacteriaceae.